UGCCAGCAGCCCGCGGUAAUACGUAGGGUGCAAGCGUUAAUCGGAAUUACUGGGCGUAAAGCAGUGCGCAGGUGGUUUUGUAAGACCGACGUGAAAUCCCCGGGCUCAACCUGGGAAUGGCGUUGGUGACUGCAAGACUUGAGUGUGGCAGAGGGGGGUGGAAUUCCACGUGUAGCAGUGAAAUGCGUAGAGAUGUGGAGGAACACCGAUGGCGAAGGCAGCCCCCUGGGCUAACACUGACACUCAUGCACCGAAAGCGUGGGGAGCAAACAGGAUUAAAUACCCUGGUAGUCC
RNAcentral lists this ribosomal RNA (294 nucleotides) under uncultured bacterium. RNAcentral's name for it is "partial 16S ribosomal RNA". It matches the Rfam family "Bacterial small subunit ribosomal RNA", at positions 506 to 796 of the family's 1533-position model. The record is from RNAcentral.